CGGACGGGUGAGUAACACGUGGAUAACCUACCUAUAAGACUGGGAUAACUUCGGGAAACCGGAGCUAAUACCGGAUAAUAUAUUGAACCGCAUGGUUCAAUAGUGAAAGACGGUUUUGCUGUCACUUAUAGAUGGAUCCGCGCCGCAUUAGCUAGUUGGUAAGGUAACGGCUUACCAAGGCAACGAUGCGUAGCCGACCUGAGAGGGUGAUCGGCCACACUGGAACUGAGACACGGUCCAGACUCCUACGGGAGGCAGCAGCA
This 263-nucleotide ribosomal RNA is filed under the name uncultured Staphylococcus sp. RNAcentral's name for it is "partial 16S ribosomal RNA". It matches the Rfam family "Bacterial small subunit ribosomal RNA", at positions 99 to 355 of the family's 1533-position model. Lineage: Bacteria; Bacillati; Bacillota; Bacilli; Caryophanales; Staphylococcaceae. The record is from RNAcentral.